RNAcentral lists this ribosomal RNA (665 nucleotides) under uncultured archaeon. RNAcentral's name for it is "bacterial SSU rRNA". It matches the Rfam family "Archaeal small subunit ribosomal RNA", at positions 325 to 986 of the family's 1478-position model. The record is from RNAcentral.
ACGGGGUGCAGCAGGCGCGAAAACUCCGCAAUGCGCGCAAGCGUGACGGGGGAAUCCCAAGUACCGUUGGUCUUAUGAUCGACGGUUUUUAGGAAGUCUAAGAAGCUUCCAGAAUAAGGGCUGGGCAAGACUGGUGCCAGCCGCCGCGGUAACACCAGCAGCCCAAGUGGUGACCACGAUUAUUGGGCCUAAAGCGCUCGUAGCCGGAUCAGCAAGUCCCUUGUGAAAUCGGGCCGCCUAACGGUUCGGCGUGCAAGGGAUACUGUUGGUCUUGAGGCCGGGAGAGGUCGGAGGUACUCCUGGGGUAGCGGUGAAAUGCUCUAAUCCUAGGGGGACCACCAGUGGCGAAGGCGUCCGACCAGAACGGACCUGACGGUGAGGGGCGAAGGCUAGGGGAGCGAACGGGAUUAGAUACCCCGGUAGUCCUAGCUGUAAAGCAUGCGGGCCAGGUGUCUAGCGCUCCUUGAGGGCGCUAGGUGCCGGAGGGAAGCCGUUAAGCCCGCCGCCUGGGAAGUACGGCCGCAAGGCUGAAACUUAAAGAGAUUGGCGGGGGAGCACCACAAGAGGUGGGACCUGCGGUUCAAUUGGAUUCAACGCCGGANAACUCACCAGGGGCGACAGCUGGUUGACGGCCAGAUUGACGAUCUUGCCCGACUAGCUGAGAG